UCGUCUCUGUACAAUUUAUGCUAAUUCCAUAAGUGAAUAUUUGUACCUGUAACGACCCAGCCCACUAGCAACAAUAACUCGUUAGGCCCAACCACCGGCCCAAAAUGCUUAAGCCCAGUUAUUAUUACUAGUGUCUAAGUCUCUUAUAUACCCAAUCGCAUCCCCAAUCAUAUCCGAUGUGGAAUUAUUGGGGUGUGACAGACUCCCCCCGUUAAGACCCUGAUGUCCUCGUCAGCCUAAUCACACACACAGCCCAAGAUCACCAGGCGAUGUGAAGCUCGUCUCGCUAGCCUUGUCAUCCAGACCCUGGCAUAGCCGGUCACCUUGUCAUUCAGACUCCGACAUAGCCUAUCACCUUGCUUUCAGACCCUGGCUCAGCCGAGACUCGCCACACAUUUCCGGCUGGUAAAUUGGCUCUGAUACCAAAUGUAACGACCCAGCCCACUAGCAACAAUAACUCGUUGGGCCGAACCACCGGCCCAAAAUGCUUAAGCCAAGUUAUUAUUACUAGUGUCCAAGUCUCUUAUAUACCCAAUCACAUCCCCAAUCAUAUCCGAUGUGGGAUUAUUGGGGUGUGACAGUACCACU
RNAcentral lists this long non-coding RNA (588 nucleotides) under Ananas comosus (pineapple). Its description in RNAcentral is "long non-coding RNA (ACOM_LNC012425)". The record is from RNAcentral. Lineage: Eukaryota; Viridiplantae; Streptophyta; Magnoliopsida; Poales; Bromeliaceae.